Small nuclear RNA from Suncus etruscus (white-toothed pygmy shrew), 111 nucleotides. NCBI's taxonomy places the organism in Eukaryota, Metazoa, Chordata, Mammalia, Eulipotyphla, Soricidae. The record is from RefSeq and is a predicted model, not a curated record.
GUGUUCGCUUCGGCAGCACAUAUACUAAAAUUGGAACGAUACAGAGAAGAAAGAUUAGCAUGGCCCCUGCACAAGGAUGACACACAAAUUUGUGAAGCGUUCCAUAUUUAA